Molecule: long non-coding RNA, 1028 nt
Filed under: Brassica napus (rape)
Lineage: Eukaryota; Viridiplantae; Streptophyta; Magnoliopsida; Brassicales; Brassicaceae
Description: long non-coding RNA (BNAP_LNC014965)
Source: RNAcentral
GCUUCCCAUGCAUCAAGAUAACAAAUUAAAUCAAAGAUCAAAUUUUGUUUGGUAUAUAUAUAUUACUUUCCAUCCUGUCUGAAUGAAAUUAAGAAAGAAUAAUAUGUGUAACCUAUUUAUUUCCAUCUUCGUUUCUUCACAGGAUCUGGUGAUGCCCAUUACUGUUUCAUUAGAUUCUGAAUUUUGGUAUGUUUGAGUCAGAGAAGGAAGCCAAGAAAGAAGUUUUCACGAAGUAUCGAGUCCAGUGGAGUGGAGUUCUUGAUACUCUCACCAAAGGUGUAGUUUCUUUUUCUGUAUUCCACCAUUACUUAACCUUUUGCGACUCGCAGGAACUGUUAUUCAAGGAUUCAUUUCGCCAGGACGUAUUCAAAAAUAAUUGCCUAAAAUGAUGUGAGGAUCAGUUUACAAACUCGACAACUUCCUACGUGUUGUAAGUUCUGAGCUCGUGGAUUCUCGGUGGAAGGGUAAGUGUGUUUUUGCGUUAAGGUAUUUGUAUUCCUUUAAAGACCAAAAAAUAUGUUAAAAAGUUUUGGAUUCCUGAUGUCAACUUCUGACUUUAGAACUGAAGCAGACCCACUGAUAUGUAGUGUUCUUAGAGUAAGGAACUUCGAGAUUCGAGUUUGAUUCUGUCUCGAAUGAGAUAAUACAUAUUCUAUCUAAUUUGAUGAAAUUUCAAAAUUGUUUUUUUUUUUAUCUUGGAGAGUCAUAGGAAGAAAGGGCUGAAUCGACUGUGACUGUUAAUUGAGAUACUACAAGUUACAAUUGUGAGUAAAAAUGUGGUUGCCUACUUUGAGCUCAGGCUCAAUUGAGGGAGUGAAGAGAAGAGGGGAGAUGCCGUUACACAGGUUCAUCUCAAUGUCUAUGAUAUAACGCAUGUGAACAACUACCUCUGUUGGUCUGGCAUAAUUCCAUUCUGGAAUAUACAGUAUGUUUAUUCUCUUUCUCUUCAUAACUCUUCUCUCUUAUAUAACUUAGUUAUUUGAUGAAAACCAUUUUUAUGAGUCUGUAUAUCAUGGACCAUUUUUAUU